This 335-nucleotide ribosomal RNA is filed under the name Anopheles fluviatilis. RNAcentral describes it as "partial large subunit ribosomal RNA". It matches the Rfam family "Eukaryotic large subunit ribosomal RNA", at positions 666 to 943 of the family's 3401-position model. The record is from RNAcentral. RNAcentral also lists the same sequence under 1 other name. Lineage: Eukaryota; Metazoa; Arthropoda; Insecta; Diptera; Culicidae.
CCAAGAAGUCUAUCUUGCGCGCAAGCCAAUGGGUAAAUGGUGCGGUACGCCGCCCAUGAAUCGAAACCCACAGGCGAAGACAAAUCGAGUGUUACGGGAUUACGGGUACGGCCGAUGGCGCAAGCCUUCGUCGGAUCCCUCCAUCCCAGGGUGUCCCGUUCGGGUGCUUGCACCCAGCGGACAUCCCCGGAGUGCGUAGGAUGUGACCCGAAAGAUGGUGAACUAUGCCUGAUCAGGUUGAAGUCAGGGGAAACCCUGAUGGAGGACCGAAGCAAUUCUGACGUGCAAAUCGAUUGUCAGAGUUGGGCAUAGGGGCGAAAGACCAAUCGAACCAU